GCUAAACAGCUAGCCCACCCAAAAACCUAACAUUAACUAUCAAUACCUCUUAAUACUCUUUAACCAAAAAAACAAAACAUUUUUCCACCCUAGUACGGGCGACGGAAAAGGAACUAGGAGCGAUAGAGAAAGUACCGCAAGGGAAAGCUGAAAGAGAAAUGAAACAACCCAGUAAAGCCAAAAAAAGCAGAGACAAGACCUCGUAUUU
Molecule: ribosomal RNA, 208 nt
Filed under: Chrysiptera talboti (Talbot's demoiselle)
Lineage: Eukaryota; Metazoa; Chordata; Actinopteri; Pomacentridae
Description: partial 16S ribosomal RNA
Source: RNAcentral